Molecule: ribosomal RNA, 430 nt
Filed under: uncultured Bacillota bacterium
Lineage: Bacteria; Bacillati; Bacillota
Description: bacterial SSU rRNA
Rfam family: Bacterial small subunit ribosomal RNA
Source: RNAcentral
UAGGGAAUCUUCCACAAUGGGCGAAAGCCUGAUGGAGCAACGCCGCGUGUGUGAUGAAGGGUUUCGGCUCGUAAAACACUGUUGUAAGAGAAGAAUGACAUUGAGAGUAACUGUUCAAUGUGUGACGGUAUCUUACCAGAAAGGAACGGCUAAAUACGUGCCAGCAGCCGCGGUAAUACGUAUGUUCCAAGCGUUAUCCGGAUUUAUUGGGCGUAAAGCGAGCGCAGACGGUUAUUUAAGUCUGAAGUGAAAGCCCUCAGCUCAACUGAGGAAUUGCUUUGGAAACUGGAUGACUUGAGUGCAGUAGAGGAAAGUGGAACUCCAUGUGUAGCGGUGAAAUGCGUAGAUAUAUGGAAGAACACCAGUGGCGAAGGCGGCUUUCUGGACUGUAACUGACGUUGAGGCUCGAAAGUGUGGGUAGCAAACAGGA